Long non-coding RNA from Drosophila yakuba, 1411 nucleotides. RefSeq lists it as uncharacterized. The transcript has 2 exons. The record is from RefSeq and is a predicted model, not a curated record. NCBI's taxonomy places the organism in Eukaryota, Metazoa, Arthropoda, Insecta, Diptera, Drosophilidae.
GACAGAUGACAAUCAGAUCUAUGUUAAAAAUAGACAAUUAAAAGAAGGUGACAUCGCGUACGUGUGUCGUAUCAAAGACUGCAAAGCUCGGGUUUAUCUAAGUGCGGAUAAGACUCGCGUUUAUUCGAAGACGGAGCAAGUGCAGCAUUUUCAUGGUCCGCAGGGCCAGGAAAUGCAGAAAAUUGAAGUGCUGUCUGAAGUUAAAAAAAAGUGUCAAAGUAGCUCCAAUAAUGACACCAAAAAAGUUUUUAAUGAUGUUUUGGCUGAAAAAACGGAAGGACAAGCGGAGAUCGAAGUCAAUUACGACACUGUCAAACGCACUCUGCAAAGAAAGAGGCAACCCUUUCUACCCAAAUCUCCAACUUCCGCAGUGGACGUACUUGAAGCAUUUAAAGAUGAAAACAUCAUGAGUCGUUUUGGGAUGACCAAGGGCAGUUCUCCAAAUGUUUUUUUUUAAAAACUUUACAUGUCUGGAUCAUUUGCAUAUUGCAUAUUUUCGUCGGACAAGGUCAUUACUUUGAUGCAAGCAAAUAUUGAGGAGCAGAGUCGGCAUUUUUUAAUUGAUGCUACAUUCAAAGUAUGCCCGUUUGGAGAUUUUAAGCAACUACUUAUUAUUUACAUAAAGCAUAUGCAGAAGGUAUGUGUUUUACUUCAGUUUAAUUUAAUGUCAAAAUUAAUUUGUUUUUAUUAUUAUGUAGAUCACCCCAUUCUUAUUUGUCUUAGUGACGCGCAAAACGGAGCUCUGUUAUCAGCAUUUAUUCACCUAUGAAGAUUCAAAUAUUUGUUGCUUAUCAUUUAUUUCCGACUACGAAACAGCGAUGCGGAACGCCUUAAAAAACUUGCAUCCUUCCAUGAAUUUUUAUUCUUGCUGGUUCCAUUUUACUCAAGCAUGCAAGAGAAAUGCAAGAAAAACAUAUGGUCUAGAAAAAAUGCUUAAAUGCAAUAAACCGGCUUAUCUUUUAUUUAUGAAAUUCUUGUACUUGCCGCUAUUAUCGGAUACCAAUGAACUAUAUGGAGAUGUUCGAGAAAGGCGAAAUCGAUAUUCAGGUGUUCUUGGCACGGACUGUCGGUCUAAAUGAAACAUUUUCAAAACAAGAUCUUUUUUCUGGAAUGUGUUCCGACCUAAACUCUUCCACAUCAUCGUCAUCACGUUCAUCAAAUUUAAGCCAACUCUCGGAUUCGUUAUUUAUACAACAAAAUCCUUGUAAUGUAUGCUUAAUGAAUCCGAAAUCUGUAAUGCUUCGCCCCUGUAACCAUGUCAACAUAUGUAGUACAUGCUGGGACCAACUUGUCGAUAACCACGAACAAAAUGGAAUUGAAACUAAUACCAAAUGCCCGACCUGCCAACAGGAAGUCGAAGAGGCUAUAAAAAAUGUAUAUAUAUAUAACUAAAUAAAUUUAAACAAUGUAA